Lacerta agilis (Sand lizard) is the source of this 484-nucleotide long non-coding RNA. RefSeq lists it as uncharacterized. The record is from RefSeq and is a predicted model, not a curated record. NCBI's taxonomy places the organism in Eukaryota, Metazoa, Chordata, Lepidosauria, Squamata, Lacertidae. The transcript has 3 exons.
AAAAUCUGCAACCCCAGCCACGCGCUCCGUCCUGGAAGAGGCUGAGAGAGGAGGAGCAGCAGCAACAACAGACUUGGACAGGACACCACUAAACCCAUUCCCUCUGGAGAGAGAGAGAGAGAGAGAGAGAAAUCCAUCAGGUUGGGGAGGCAGGAGAGCUGCACCAGGAGAACUUCCACCUGCUUCCAUGGGCUCAGAUCACCUGCACAUUUUAAAAGACAGACGUCCACCUGUCCAUCCUACAGACAAGACGUUACCUGCCUCUGCUGUUUUUCUGAACUCGGCUCUUCACUCCAAACCGAUGGCGGGCAGGGAGCUGGAAAGGUCUUGAAACUGGGGGGUCUCCACCCACCCCAGGGGAAGAGGGGCUUUGCAGAAGAGAGAACAGGCUGCGCAGAUGGUGAGGUUGCGAAAGGGGCCUGGUAUUCCCUAAACUGACGGCAAGAAUCAGAAGGCAAUGGGGGCAGCAAGCCAUGGCCAGAUU